GCGAGAGUAUUAAUAUUGACAGGACAACUGCUUGGGAUUAAAAUGGCCACAACUGUAUUGAUUACAGAUGUAAGUAGGCUUUGGCUUGGAAAUUGGGUGUGUCCUGAAUCAGCCUAGCCCAAUUGCUGACUGUGAUGGCCUGGGAUUCCGAUUCGGAGGAUGAAACAGAGGAAUCCCAGCCUGCACAGGAGUCCCCGCCUCCAGGGCCGGCUGAACUGGGGCAAGGCCUAGAUGCUGAAGAGCCUGCACCUGUGGCAGUGCAUCAGGAGCUGGCCCCAGGUGAAGCCCUUCUGGCCCCAGAGGGGCUUGAUGACUCAGUGGCCACAGGUGAGCCUCCUCCAGGGCCCAGUAACCCUUCGGCCUCUCCUGAUCUGCAGAGGCUUAGGGCAGAGAGGCGAAGGGAACUGGUUGCCCCCAGGAGGAGUGCUCGCCUUAAGGCCAGAGGAGGCGGGGCUCCUGGGGACCGGGACCGCCCCUGGCCUUAGAAGAGGAUAAAGCCCAGUCAGCCCGGCCCCAGGUUGCGGGAGCAACGUCGUUGUUGGCUUCGGACCUUCCUGUGCUCCUGUUCCCUGCUCGGCUUCCUGUUCCUGACUAUCCGGUACUCCUGUUCCCUGCUCGGCUUCCUGUUCCUGACUAUCCGGUACUCCUGUUCCCUGCUCGGCCUCCUGUUCCCGACCAUCCGGUGUUCCUGUUCCCCGCCCGGCUCUCUGCCUCGGACCUUGCCCCUCUUCGUGUGGACUCUGCUACACCCAAGGUACCUUACCCCCGGGACCAGCACAGUUUGCUCCCGCCACACCCGCACUUCCCUUCGUAGGGGUGCGUCGGGGAAGAGCCAGAGGCCAUGGCUGAACAGGCGGCUGCACUGGUGGCUUUGGCCCAGGAGAACCAGGCCUUGAAUCACACCGUGCAGCAGCUCAGCGACGCGGUUGUGGCACUUCAGCAACGCUUGGAAGCCCUACCGGCUCCUGGGGCCGACGCCCGGCUCCGGGCAAGUACCCAGUGGCUUUGCCUGAGAAAUUUGAUGGAGCCCCGGCCAGCUUUCCCAUGUUCCUGGCCCAGGCCAAGCUGUAUAUUCAGGGGCGAGCCCGGAACUUUCCUGACGACCGCACCAAGGUGCACUUGUGGAUUAGUUUGUUAAAGGACCAGGCGGCCAAGUGGGCGUUGCCGUUACUCAGGCACGACUCCCCUUGCUGGCAGACUAUACGGGGUUUUGCAAUCGUUUGGAGGCCGCGCUCGGCAACCCCCAGAAAGAGAGUCAAGCCAACCGGGCGAUUCGGCGCUUGAAACAGGGCAAGUCCACGGUGGCCACAUAUACCACGGAGUUUCGGCUGUUGGCACAGGACUUGACCUGGAAUGACUCGGCACUGCGGGACCAGUAUCUCGAAGGGCUUUCGGACGAGGUACUGGACCAGUUGGCCACAAUGGAACGCCCCACCACGCUGGACACUCUCAUUCAACGGAGUCUACAAAUAGACGACCGGUUGGAGGAUCGUCGUCAGGCCCGGGUCGCCGACCCUUCCAGUUCACGGCACCAGCUUUUUCCGGCAGCCCCACGGUCACAAGUGAUUUAACGGAGGAGCCUAUGCAGCUCGGGCAGUGCGGCCACGCCUUUCCCCCGCAGAGAAGGCGCGGCGUCGGGAGGGAAAUCUCUGUCUUUACUGUGGCGGAAGUGGACACUUCGCUCGGUCCUGCCCAGGGAAACGCCAACCCCAGUAGCUGAUGGCCCUAGCUACCGGGGGUCCCAAACCGUACAGAAUGGGCCCGCACCAAUGGACUUGCAACAUCUUAUGGUUUCGGUACGUUUAUACCCUCCAGGUGGGCCCUGGAUCCUCACCCAUGCUUUGGUAGAUCCAGGGCAACCCGCUCCUAUAUGGACGCUGCUUUUGCCGCCCAUCAUCAGGUUCCACUUCGGAACAAGCCAGUACCGGUCCAGGUGGAAGCGAUUGACGGACGACUUCUGCGUUCAGGUGCCGUUACUCAGGAGACCCAGCCCUUGGUCCUGUGUCUCCAGCAGCACCGGAGUUGCGGACUUUGGACAUUGCCUCUAUGCCCCGCUUCCCCUGGUGCUCGGGAUGGACUGGCUGGAAGCCCACAACGUUCAGAUUGACUGGGUCAAACGGACCGUGCACUUCCCAGACCCAUGUUCCCAUGCUCAAUCCGGAACGCUGGCGGCCGCGCGCUCAGGGGAGGCUGCACCCACGCUCCCAGCCGUGUACCAGGACUACCAGGACGUGUUCGAGGAACGGGGGCAGACCAGCUGCCGCCACAUCGGCCUUUGGACUGCGGCAUAGACCUCCAACCCGGAGCGCCUUUACCAGUGGGUCGCUUAUAUUCCCUAACAGAGCCAGAGCGCGAGGCUUUGCAGGACUUCUUGCGCAAGAACCUGGAGCGUGGGUUCAUUAGGCCUUCCACCUCGCCUACCGCGGCACCAGUGCUUUUCGUUAAGAAGAAAUGUGGGGAACUCCGCCCUUGCCACGAUUACCGAGCCCUGAACAAAAUUACCGUCCCAGACCGGUACCCCUUGCCCCUUAUCUCGGAACUGCUGGAGCGGGUGCAAGGGGCACAGGUGUUCACCAAGCUGGACCUCCGGGGGGCCUACAACUUGAUUCGGAUCCGAGCCGGGGAUGAGUGGAAGACAGCGUUUGGGACCCGGUACGGGCAGUUCGAAUAUUUGGUUAUGCCUUUCGGUUUGUGCAACGCGCCUGCUGUGUUUCAACGCUACAUCAACCACGUGUUUCAGGACUUGUUAGACAAGUACGUGGUGGUGUAUUUGGAUGACAUACUGAUUUACUCCCGUGACCCGGCUUGCCAUGAGGGACAUGUCCGGACCGUGCUGCAGCGCUUGCGUGAGCACCGUUUGUACGCAAAGCUCAGCAAGUGCGAGUUCCAUCAGCGGACUGUGGACUUCCUUGGUCACCGGCUCUCUCCAGAUGGGGUGCAAAUGGACCCGGGAAGGUGACAGCGGUUCAAGAAUGGGCGGCCCCCCCGAACCGCCAGGACCUGCAGCGCGUCCUGGGCGUCGCCAAUUACUACCGGACCUUCAUCGCUGAUUAUGCUCAUCGCACCACCCCGUUGACCCGGCUACUGCGCCCAAAGACGCCGUUUUCCUGGGACAAGGAGGCAGAGGAGGCGUUUCAGGGGUUGGAAGGCCUGUUUCCAGAGGGCACCAAUCUUACAACAUCCUGACCCCUCUCGACCCUUUGUGGUGGAGACCGACGCUUCCAGUACGGCUCUCGGUGCCGUCUUGUCUCAACAGAUUGGUCCUGAAGCGCCACUCUUACCCUGUGCCUUCUAUUCUCGCCAGCUCCUACCAGCGGAGCGUAACUAUACUGUGUGGGAGCGGGAACUACUGGCCAUCAAGGUAGCCUUUGAGGUCUGGCGCCACCAUCUUGAGGGGGCACGACAUCCGGUGGAGGUGAGAACCGACCACCGGAACCUGGAGUACCUCCAGACCACCCGCAAGCUGAACCAAAGACAGAUCCGGUGGGCGUUGUUCUUUUCCCGGUUCCAGUUCCGGAUCCGCUACAUCCCUAGCUCUCAGAAUCAGAAGGCGGAUGCCCUGUCCCGGAAACCCGAAGACAACGCAGACACGGUACAGCAAGCAGAACCCACCACGAUCCUACCUCCGGCUGCAUUCCUGGCCACCCAGGAGGCGCAGCCACUGCAGGUUCGGGUGCGGGAACAGCAGCGGGUCGACGCUUGGGCCCAGGAACGACUCCGGGAGCUGGCUGAAGGGUCCAGCCCACAGUAUCCGGGGCUGGUCCUGCAUCAGGGCCUUCUGCUGCACCACGGUCGUCUGUCACAUCCCGCCAGGGCCACUACGGCUGGAGGUUCUCCGGAUGGCCCAUGAUGCCCCAGCAGCGGGGCACUUUGGACGGUAUCGGACCACCCAUCUGGUCAGUCGAGAGUUUUGGUGGCCCCGCCUGAAGGCUGACGUGGCUCGCUACGUUGCUGGUUGUGAUGUCUGCCGGCGCGCCAAGGGACCUACCGGGCGACCCCCCGGCCUACUUCAGCCAUUGCCAGUUCCACCGCGCCCCUGGCACACGGUUUCGUUGGACUUUGUAGUGGACUUACCCUCGUCUCGUGGCUGUACCUGCCUUCUGGUUUUCUCCGACCAUUUCACCAAGAUGGUGCACUGCGCUCCCUGUCCAUCUGUACCCACAGCCAAGGAAACUGCUCAGCUGUACCUUCAGCAUGUCUUCCGCCUGCAUGGACUACCUGAGCGCGUGGUGUCCGACCGGGGCGUUCAGUUCACAUCCCGGUUCUGGCGAGCAUUACACCAGACCCUCGGGACAGAGGUCUGCCUCUCGUCAGCCUACCACCCACAGACCGAUGGCCAGACGGAACGGGCGAACGCGGUGCUGGAGCAGUACCUCCGGUGUUACUGCAGCUACCAGCAGGAUGACUGGGUCGACCACCUGGCAUUGGCGGAGUUCGCCUAUAACAACGCGGUGAAUGCGUCCACCCAGCAGUCCCCGUUCCAGGCCAGUUAUGGUUAUCAUCCACGGCUGUUUCCAGAGGUGCUGCCGGCAUCCGCGGUCCCGGCGGUGACGGAGUGGCUUCAAGAGCUCCAGUCCCAGCAACAGCUUUGGUGGAGCAACUGCACCAGGCCAAGGAAGCGUACAAAGCCCAGGCCGACCGCCACCGCCAGGUGGGGCCGGAACUCGCGACGGUGACCUGGUUUGGCUCUCCACUCGCCACCUCCACCCCUCUCGACCUUCGCGGAAGUUGGACGCCCGCUUCACCGGCCCGUUCCCUAUCGUAGACCAAAUCUCUCCUGUGGCAUUCCGUCUCCGGUUACCCGCAACCCUGAAGGUUCACCCGGUCUUCCACAGGUCCCUUUUGAGUCCGGUGGCCCCACCCGACGAGUUCCACCUGGACCGUCCCCGACCGCAGCCAGUGUUGGUUCGGGAGAGCCUGAGUACGAGGUGGAACGCAUCCUGGACUCCCGAUACCGCAGGGGAAAGCUGCAGUAUCUCAUUGACUGGAAGGGGUACGGACCGGAGGACCGUUCCUGGGAACCAGCGGCCAAUGUCCACGCACCUGCCUGCCUCCGAGAGUUCCAUGCGACGUACCCCGGCAAGCCGGGUCCGGACCCUCGGUUGAGGGGGGGGCCUGGGAGGGGGGAUGGUGUGAUGGCCUGGGAUUCCGAUUCGGAGGAUGAAACAGAGGAAUCCCAGCCUGCACAGGAGUCCCCGCCUCCAGGGCCGGCUGAACUGGGGCAAGGCCUAGAUGCUGAAGAGCCUGCACCUGUGGCAGUGCAUCAGGAGCUGGCCCCAGGUGAAGCCCUUCUGGCCCCAGGGGGCUUGAUGACUCAGUGGCCACAGGUGAGCCUCCUCCAGGGCCCAGUAACCCUUCGGCCUCUCCUGAUCUGCAGAGGCUUAGGGCAGAGAGGCGAAGGGAACUGGUUGCCCCCAGGAGGAGUGCUCGCCUUAAGGCCAGAGGAGGCGGGGCUCCUGGGGACCGGGACCGCCCUGGCCUUAGAAGAGGAUAAAGCCCAGUCAGCCCGGCCCCAGGUUGCGGGAGCAACGUCGUUGUUGGCUCGGACCUUCCUGUGCUCCUGUUCCCUGCUCGGCUUCCUGUUCCUGACUAUCCGGUACUCCUGUUCCCUGCUCGGCUUCCUGUUCCUGACUAUCCGGUACUCCUGUUCNNNNNNNNNNNNNNNNNNNNNNNNNNNNNNNNNNNNNNNNNNNNNNNNNNNNNNNNNNNNNNNNNNNNNNNNNNNNNNNNNNNNNNNNNNNNNNNNNNNNNNNNNNNNNNNNNNNNNNNNNNNNNNNNNNNNNNNNNNNNNNNNNNNNNNNNNNNNNNNNNNNNNNNNNNNNNNNNNNNNNNNNNNNNNNNNNNNNNNNNCUGACUGAUUGCUCUUUUAGGUUUGAUUCUAGGUUAAAGGAUCCCCCCAUUACGCCAAUCAAAUGGGGGAGAACUUUGGCCACGACGGCAGGAAGGCUUUGAAGUCUGUGCAAGGCAAUUAAGGCCAAGAGAAGCAGGCACUCCUGAUUUAUUAACUGCCUGAUAAGAAACUGUAAUUGACUGUUUUCCUGGGCC
Molecule: long non-coding RNA, 6045 nt
Filed under: Podarcis lilfordi (Lilford's wall lizard)
Lineage: Eukaryota; Metazoa; Chordata; Lepidosauria; Squamata; Lacertidae
Source: RNAcentral